UAAAAACAAGAGUUUUCCCCUGAAGAAACA
This 30-nucleotide non-coding RNA is filed under the name Rattus norvegicus (Norway rat). Lineage: Eukaryota; Metazoa; Chordata; Mammalia; Rodentia; Muridae. The record is from RNAcentral.